UAAGAGUCUGAUGGACGGAUG
Molecule: non-coding RNA, 21 nt
Filed under: Arabidopsis thaliana (thale cress)
Lineage: Eukaryota; Viridiplantae; Streptophyta; Magnoliopsida; Brassicales; Brassicaceae
Source: RNAcentral